AUGAACGCUGGCGGCGUGCCUAAUACAUGCAAGUCGAGCGAACAGACGAGGAGCUUGCUCCUCUGACGUUAGCGGCGGACGGGUGAGUAACACGUGGAUAACCUACCUAUAAGACUGGGAUAACUUCGGGAAACCGGAGCUAAUACCGGAUAAUAUAUUGAACCGCAUGGUUCAAUAGUGAAAGACGGUUUUGCUGUCACUUAUAGAUGGAUCCGCGCCGGAUUAGCUAGUUGGUAAGGGAACGGCUUACCAAGGCAACGAUGCGUAGCCGACCUGAGAGGGUGAUCGGCCACACUGGAACUGAGACACGGUCCAGACUCCUACGGGAGGCAGCAGUAGGGAAUCUUCCGCAAUGGGCGAAAGCCUGACGGAGCAACGCCGCGUGAGUGAUGAAGGUCUUCGGAUCGUAAAACUCUGUUAUUAGGGAAGAACAAAUGUGUAAGUAACUAUGCACGUCUUGACGGUACCUAAUCAGAAAGCCACGGCUAACUACGUG
This 496-nucleotide ribosomal RNA is filed under the name uncultured bacterium. Its description in RNAcentral is "partial 16S ribosomal RNA". It matches the Rfam family "Bacterial small subunit ribosomal RNA", at positions 29 to 507 of the family's 1533-position model. The record is from RNAcentral.